GAUGAAGAAACGUAGCGAAAUGCGAUAAGUAAUGUGAAUUGCAGAAUUCCGUGAAUCAUCGAAUCUUUGAACGCACAUUGCGCCCCCUGGCAUUCCGGGGGGCAUGCCUGUCCGAGCGUCAUUUCUGCCCUCCAGCCCGGCUGGGUGUUGGGCGCUGUCCCCCCGGGGACACGCCCCAAAGGCAGUGGCGGCGCCGCGUCGGGUCCUCGAGCGUAUGGGGCUUUGUCACCCGCUCGGGACGGACUCGUCGGCGCUGGUCUUCCUCCAGGCGACCCUUCGGGGCUCGUCUUCCUUCGGUUGACCUCGGAUCAGGUAGGGUUACCCGCUGAACUUAAGCAUAUCAAUAAGCGGAGGA
This 355-nucleotide unclassified non-coding RNA is filed under the name soil metagenome. RNAcentral's name for it is "partial contains 5.8S ribosomal RNA, internal transcribed spacer 2, and large subunit ribosomal RNA". The stretch from base 1 to 121 matches the Rfam family "5.8S ribosomal RNA", at positions 35 to 154 of the family's 154-position model. The record is from RNAcentral.